Molecule: transfer RNA, 124 nt
Filed under: Pyrenochaeta sp. MPI-SDFR-AT-0127
Lineage: Eukaryota; Fungi; Ascomycota; Dothideomycetes; Pleosporales; Cucurbitariaceae
Rfam family: tRNA
About the family: Transfer RNA (tRNA) molecules are approximately 80 nucleotides in length. Their secondary structure includes four short double-helical elements and three loops (D, anti-codon, and T loops).
Source: Rfam by way of RNAcentral
GGUGAGAUGGCCGAGUUGGUUAUGGCGCCAGGUUAAGGUCUCCCCUUAGCAACGCAACACGGAUUCUCUCCGUAGUAGCUUCCUGGUCACGAAAGUGGCGUGGGUUCGAGUCCCACUCUCAUCA